AACACAUGCAAGUCGAGGGGCAGCGGGGGGAGUGCUUGCACUCCCCGCCGGCGACCGGCGCACGGGUGAGUAACACGUAUGCAACCUGCCCUCCGCAGGUGGAUAACCCGGAGAAAUCCGGACUAAUACAGCAUGACGCGCCCCGGGGACAUCCCCGGGGCGCCAAAGGAGGCGACUCCGGCGGAGGAUGGGCAUGCGGCGCAUUAGCCAGUCGGCGGGGUAACGGCCCACCGAGGCGACGAUGCGUAGGGGUUCUGAGAGGAAGGUCCCCCACACUGGUACUGAGACACGGACCAGACUCCUACGGGAGGCAGCAGUGAGGAAUAUUGGUCAAUGGGCGCGAGCCUGAACCAGCCAAGUCGCGUGAGGGAAGACGGUCCUUAGGAUUGUAAACCUCUUUAGGCAGGGAGCAACGGCCGGCACGUGUGCCGGAGACGAGGGUACCUGCAGAAUAAGCAUCGGCUAACUCCGUGCCAGCAGCCGCGGUAAUACGGAGGAUGCGAGCGUUAUCCGGAUUUAUUGGGUUUAAAGGGUGCGCAGGCGGGCCGGAAAGUCAGCGGUAAAAUUGCGGUGCUCAACGCCGUACAGCCGUUGAAACUGCCGGUCUUGAGUGGACGAGAAGUAUGCGGAAUGCGUGGUGUAGCGGUGAAAUGCAUAGAU
This 660-nucleotide ribosomal RNA is filed under the name uncultured Bacteroidota bacterium. RNAcentral describes it as "bacterial SSU rRNA". It matches the Rfam family "Bacterial small subunit ribosomal RNA", at positions 50 to 695 of the family's 1533-position model. Lineage: Bacteria; Pseudomonadati; Bacteroidota. The record is from RNAcentral.